RNAcentral lists this unclassified non-coding RNA (451 nucleotides) under Hevea brasiliensis (rubber tree). The record is from RNAcentral. Lineage: Eukaryota; Viridiplantae; Streptophyta; Magnoliopsida; Malpighiales; Euphorbiaceae.
CAAAAACAGAUUGUUGCGUUUCACUUCUGUUGUAUUUGAUAUGUGAAGUACACAAUAACAAUUCAAAAGCUUUAGUUACACCACUAAGAGAACCUCUUAAUGGAAAACAUCAAGAUGGAAACCAAAUUGAAAAAAAAGAAACCUCUUUAACCCCCAGAACCACAGUAAAUUAAAGAUGGAACUUUUAAAACACCAAUAUAAAAGUUGUUUGUUGCCAAUAAGAAGAGAACCUCUUAAUGGAAAAUCAUAAUACUAGCAAGGAAAUUAUGAUAAUCAGCUUCUCCCAAUAAAAACAACUAGGGGAGAAGUGAAAAGCAAAUUAGAGGGUUUCAAUUCCCCUCAAUUUUUUUCUUCAGGUUUGGGAUCUUCCUUGAUUUCAUCAGCACCAUCAUCCUGCAUAUCGGAGGUCCAGAGAGUGAGAUUGUCACGAAGAAGUUGCAUGAUCAAAGUG